AAAAGAGACAGCUAGCUAACAGCUAACGACUAACCUUAAGAGAUAGAAGUGUAAUUUGUUUAUGCUGAUUAUUGUAAUAUAUUGUCGGAAGAAAUGAAAUUGUACAGAUCCUUCUCAAAUCUCGGGUAAAAGUUCUUCUAAACCAAGCCCGGAGGAAAGUAGCAGACAUAAAGAAGAGUUGGCAAAGAUUCAAGAUCCUUCUCAAAUCUCGGAAAAAAGAUCUUCCAAACCAAGUGCAGUGGA
Non-coding RNA from Styela clava, 243 nucleotides. NCBI's taxonomy places the organism in Eukaryota, Metazoa, Chordata, Ascidiacea, Stolidobranchia, Styelidae. The record is from RefSeq and is a predicted model, not a curated record.